This 60-nucleotide transfer RNA is filed under the name Phyllodiaptomus tunguidus. RNAcentral's name for it is "tRNA-Val". The record is from RNAcentral. Lineage: Eukaryota; Metazoa; Arthropoda; Copepoda; Calanoida; Diaptomidae.
AUUUAAGAAGUUUUAUAAUAUUGAUUUGUGGUAUCAAAGAUGUGGCUUUCACCUUAAAUA